UACGAACCGUCCAAACGUUAUUCGGAUUUAUUGGGCUUAAAGGGUACGUAGGCGGCGCUUCAAGUCGGGUGUGAAAUCCCUCGGCUCAACCGAGGAACUGCGCCCGAUACUGGAGUGCUUGAGGGAGACAGAGGUAAGCGGAACUGAUGGUGGAGCGGUGAAAUGCGUUGAUAUCAUCAGGAACACCGGUGGCGAAAGCGGCUUACUGGGUCUCUUCUGACGCUGAGGUACGAAAGCUAGGGGAGCGAACGGG
This 253-nucleotide ribosomal RNA is filed under the name uncultured bacterium. RNAcentral describes it as "partial 16S ribosomal RNA". It matches the Rfam family "Bacterial small subunit ribosomal RNA", at positions 524 to 776 of the family's 1533-position model. The record is from RNAcentral.